GCUAGCAUGGUAUAAUGGGUAGUGAAGUGGCCUUAAAAAUCAAGAGGAUGUGGGUUUAGAUCCCACUACUGGCA
Molecule: transfer RNA, 74 nt
Filed under: Monodelphis domestica (gray short-tailed opossum)
Lineage: Eukaryota; Metazoa; Chordata; Mammalia; Didelphimorphia; Didelphidae
Rfam family: tRNA
About the family: Transfer RNA (tRNA) molecules are approximately 80 nucleotides in length. Their secondary structure includes four short double-helical elements and three loops (D, anti-codon, and T loops).
Source: Rfam by way of RNAcentral